This 652-nucleotide ribosomal RNA is filed under the name uncultured Methanosaeta sp. Its description in RNAcentral is "bacterial SSU rRNA". It matches the Rfam family "Archaeal small subunit ribosomal RNA", at positions 1 to 662 of the family's 1478-position model. The record is from RNAcentral. Lineage: Archaea; Methanobacteriati; Methanobacteriota; Methanomicrobia; Methanotrichales; Methanotrichaceae.
UUCCGUUUGAUCCUGGCGGAGGUUACUGCUAUCGAGGUUCGACUAAGCCAUGCGAGUCGAAUGUAGCAAUACAUGGCGUACUGCUCAGCAACACGUGGACAACCUACCCUUAGGUCGGGGAUAAACCCGGGAAACUGGGUAUAAUACCCGAUAGUCCUCGGAUGCUGGAAUGCACCGAGGUCUAAAGCUCCGGCGCCUAAGGAUGGGUCCGCGGCCUACCAGGUAGUAGUGGGUGUAGCGUACCUACUAGCCUACGACGGGUACGGGUUGUGAGAGCAAGAGCCCGGAGAUGGAUUCUGAGACACGAAUCCAGGCCCUACGGGGUGCAGCAGGCGCGAAAACUUUACAAUGCCGGCAACGGCGAUAAGGGGACCUCGAGUGCCAGGUUACAAAUCUGGCUGUCGUGAUGCCUAAAAAGCAUUGCAUAGCAAGGGCCGGGCAAGACCGGUGCCAGCCGCCGCGGUAACACCGGCGGCUCGAGUGGUAACCGUUAUUAUUGGGUCUAAAGGGUCUGUAGCCGGCCGGAUAAGCCUCUUGGGAAAUCCAGCAGCUCAACUGUUGGGCUUUCAGGAGAUACUGUCUGGCUUGAGGCCGGGAGAGGUGAGAGGUACUUCAGGGGUAGGGGGAAAUCUUGUAAUUCGAAGGACCACCA